This 274-nucleotide ribosomal RNA is filed under the name uncultured bacterium. RNAcentral's name for it is "partial 16S ribosomal RNA". It matches the Rfam family "Bacterial small subunit ribosomal RNA", at positions 523 to 796 of the family's 1533-position model. The record is from RNAcentral.
AUACGGAGGGCGCAAGCGUUGCCCGGAAUCACUGGGUGUAAAGGGUGCGUAGGCGGGGCUGUAAGUCAGAGGUGAAAGCCCUCGGCUCAACCGGGGAAUUGCCUCUGAAACUGCAGCUCUUGAGUCCCGGAGAGGCCGCUGGAAUUCCUGGUGUAGCGGUGAAAUGCGUAGAUAUCAGGAGGAACACCGGAGGCGAAGGCGGGCGGCUGGACGGGGACUGACGCUGAGGCACGAAAGCGUGGGGAGCAAACAGGAUUAGAAACCCCAGUAGUCC